Molecule: ribosomal RNA, 548 nt
Filed under: uncultured bacterium
Lineage: Bacteria
Description: bacterial SSU rRNA
Rfam family: Bacterial small subunit ribosomal RNA
Source: RNAcentral
GGGGAAUAUUGGACAAUGGGCGAAAGCCUGAUCCAGCCAUGCCGCGUGUGUGAAGAAGGCCUUUUGGUUGUAAAGCACUUUAAGUGGGGAGAAAAAGCUUGUGGUUAAUACCCAUAAGCCCUGACGUUACCCACAGAAUAAGCACCGGCUAACUCUGUGCCAGCAGCCGCGGUAAUACAGAGGGUGCAAGCGUUAAUCGGAAUUACUGGGCGUAAAGCGCGCGUAGGUGGUUAUUUAAGUCAGAUGUGAAAGCCCCGGGCUUAACCUGGGAACUGCAUCUGAUACUGGAUAACUAGAGUAGGUGAGAGGGGAGUAGAAUUCCAGGUGUAGCGGUGAAAUGCGUAGAGAUCUGGAGGAAUACCGAUGGCGAAGGCAGCUCCCUGGCAUCAUACUGACACUGAGGUGCGAAAGCGUGGGUAGCAAACAGGAUUAGAUACCCUGGUAGUCCACGCCGUAAACGAUGUCUACCAGUCGUUGGGUCUUUUAAAGACUUAGUGACGCAGUUAACGCAAUAAGUAGACCGCCUGGGGAGUACGGCCGCAAGGUUA